This 433-nucleotide ribosomal RNA is filed under the name uncultured bacterium. Its description in RNAcentral is "partial 16S ribosomal RNA". It matches the Rfam family "Bacterial small subunit ribosomal RNA", at positions 29 to 507 of the family's 1533-position model. The record is from RNAcentral.
AACGAACGCUGGCGGCAGGCCUAACACAUGCAAGUCGAGCGAGGACUUCGGUUCUAGCGGCGGACGGGUGAGUAACGCGUGGGAAUGUGCCCUUCUCUACGGAAUAGCCCUGGGAAACUGGGAGUAAUACCGUAUACGCCCUAUUGGGGAAAGAUUUAUCGGAGAAGGAUCAGCCCGCGUUGGAUUAGGUAGUUGGUGGGGUAAUGGCCUACCAAGCCGACGAUCCAUAGCUGGUUUGAGAGGAUGCUCAGCCACACUGGGACUGAGACACGGCCCAGACUCCUCCGGGAGGCAGCAGUGGGGAAUCUUAGACAAUGGGGGCAACCCUGAUCUAGCCAUGCCGCGUGAGUGAUGAAGGCCUUAGGGUUGUAAAGCUCUUUCAGCUGGGAAGAUAAUGACGGUACCAGCAGAAGAAGCCCCGGCUAACUCCGUG